UUUGAGAUUAGGGGAGAGACAACACAAGAACAAGAAAACCCUAAACCUAAAUUUUUUUCCCCUUGCAGCCGCUGAACCAAGCCAGCCCCCACCUCACCUUUUGAAUUUUUUUUUUCUUCUCCCUCACCCGGAGCCACACACAGCCGCCCUUGACCCGUAGCCCAUCUCCUUCUUCCUCUUGAGACACAAACCAAAGCCAAACAGCCGCUCAUUUUUUUCCCCCUUUCCCUGACCCGACAGCAACAUCAGAGUCUCUCAGUUGCUUCAUUCUCCCCUCUCAGCCGUUCCUUUCCAUUUCCAUCAACCCGGAACUUUUCCUCUCAGCUGCAGGAGCAAGGGACGAACCGAACGGAGACCAUAGCAGCCUCCUCUGCAAUCUUCUUCCUUCCCCGGCCAUCGCUGCUGCUUCCCCCUCCACCGAUCUUCCUUCGACGGCGUCUCCUCCAAAAUCACAGACCCGACCCAGCCUUCUCUCCUUCAGCCGACCUCCAGCAGAACGGGUAGAGCUGCUCCCAUCGCCUCAGACCCACAGUCUCCAUCUCCGGCUAACAGCAGUUCUUCCUUCCCCAGCGCAGCAGUCGCCUCCACCAACGGCCACCCGAACACAGCGAAGCAGAUCUAACGGAGAAGAGAGGAGGCAGAGAAACGAAAGGGGCAGAUCUAAAAAGAGGAAACAAAGCAGAUUUCGAAAACAAAGGAAACAAAAAUUAAAAUCAAUUGCUGGCUGUGUGUUGAG
Molecule: long non-coding RNA, 736 nt
Filed under: Populus tremula
Lineage: Eukaryota; Viridiplantae; Streptophyta; Magnoliopsida; Malpighiales; Salicaceae
Description: long non-coding RNA (PTRE_LNC003109)
Source: RNAcentral